This 281-nucleotide unclassified non-coding RNA is filed under the name uncultured Glomus. Its description in RNAcentral is "sequence contains 18S rRNA gene". It matches the Rfam family "Eukaryotic small subunit ribosomal RNA", at positions 569 to 856 of the family's 1831-position model. The record is from RNAcentral. Lineage: Eukaryota; Fungi; Glomeromycota; Glomeromycetes; Glomerales; Glomeraceae.
AGCAGCCGCGGUAAUUCCAGCUCCAAUAGCGUAUAUUAAAGUUGUUGCAGUUAAAAGCUCGUAGUUGAAUUUCGGGAUCAAUAUUUCGGUCAUGCCGUUGGUAUGCACUGUUAUCAUUGAUUUCUCACCUUCUAAAGAACCGUAAUGCCAUUAAUUUGGUGUUACGGGGAAUUAGGACUGUUACCUUGAAAAAUUGAGUGUUUAAAGCAGGCUCACGCUUGAAUACAUUAGCAUGGAAUAAUGAAAUAGGACAUCCGAUUCUAUUUUGUUGGUUUCUAGGA